GGAAUUGUGCCUGAAUUAAUAGGGUCACUUUGAUAGAGUGAAUCAUGAAGGUUAAAAUCCUCCCAACUCCU
RNAcentral lists this transfer RNA (71 nucleotides) under Eleutheronema tetradactylum (Indian salmon). RNAcentral describes it as "tRNA-Ile". It matches the Rfam family "tRNA". From Rfam's summary of the family: Transfer RNA (tRNA) molecules are approximately 80 nucleotides in length. Their secondary structure includes four short double-helical elements and three loops (D, anti-codon, and T loops). Further hydrogen bonds mediate the characteristic L-shaped molecular structure. tRNAs have two regions of fundamental functional importance: the anti-codon, which is responsible for specific mRNA codon recognition, and the 3' end, to which the tRNAs corresponding amino acid is attached (by aminoacyl-tRNA synthetases). tRNAs cope with the degeneracy of the genetic code in two manners: having more than one tRNA (with a specific anti-codon) for a particular amino acid; and 'wobble' base-pairing, i.e. permitting non-standard base-pairing at the 3rd anti-codon position. Lineage: Eukaryota; Metazoa; Chordata; Actinopteri; Polynemidae. The record is from RNAcentral. RNAcentral also lists the same sequence under 1 other name.